CCUAGCAUACCAAGGCGCUUGAGAGAACUGCGUUGAAGGAACUCGGCAAAUUACCCCCGUAACUUCGGGAGAAGGGGGCCCCAUAUCUGGGCAACCAGGUGUGGGGGGCACAAGCCAGGGGGUGGCGACUGUUUACUAAAAACACAGGGCUCUGCGAAGCCGCAAGGCGACGUAUAGGGUCUGACGCCUGCCCGGUGCCGGAAGGUUAAGAGGAGAGGUGCAAGCCUUGAAUCGAAGCCCCGGUAAACGGCGGCCGUAACCAUAACGGUCCUAAGGUAGCGAAAUUCCUUGUCGGGUAAGUUCCGACCUGCACGAAUGGCGUAACGACUUCCCCACUGUCUCCAACGCAGACUCAGUGAAAUUGAAUUCCCCGUGAAGAUGCGGGGUUCCUGCGGUUAGACGGAAAGACCCCGUGCACCUUUACUAUAGCUUUGCACUGGUAUUCGUGGUGGCAUGUGUAGGAUAGGUGGGAGACUUUGAUCCGGGGGCGCCAGCUCUCGGGGAGUCAACCUUGAAAUACCACCCUUGUGAUCAUGGAUAUCUAACCGCGGCCCGUAAUCCGGGUCCGGGACAGUGCAUGGUGGGUAGUUUGACUGGGGCGGUCGCCUCCCAAAAAGUAACGGAGGCGCGCGAAGGUAGGCUCAAGCUGGUCGGAAAUCAGCUGUCGAGUGCAAAGGCAUAAGCCUGCCUGACUGCGAGACUGACGAGUCGAGCAGAGACGAAAGUCGGCCUUAGUGAUCCGGUGGUCCCGCGUGGAAGGGCCAUCGCUCAACGGAUGAAAGGUACGCCGGGGAUAACAGGCUGAUGAUGCCCAAGAGUCCAUAUCGACGGCAUCGUUUUGGCACCUCGAUGUCGGCUCAUCACAUCCUGGGGCUGGAGCAGGUCCCAAGGGUUCGGCUGUUCGCCGAUUAAAGUGGUACGUGAGCUGGGUUUAGAACGUCGUGAGACAGUUCGGUCCCUAUCUGCCGUAGGUGUAGGAGAAUUGAGAGGAUCUGUCCUUAGUACGAGAGGACCGGGAUGGACGCACCUCUAGUGGACCUGUUGUCGCGCCAGCGGCAUAGCAGGGUAGCCAAGUGCGGACGGGAUAACCGCUGAAAGCAUCUAAGCGGGAAACCCACCUCAAAACUAGUUCUCCCUUGAGAGCCGUGGAAGACCACCACGUUGAUAGGCUGGAUGUGGAAGCGCAGCAAUGCGUGUAGCUAACCAGUACUAAUCGCUCA
Molecule: ribosomal RNA, 1220 nt
Filed under: metagenome
Description: bacterial LSU rRNA
Rfam family: Bacterial large subunit ribosomal RNA
Source: RNAcentral